Molecule: long non-coding RNA, 2064 nt
Filed under: Homo sapiens (human)
Lineage: Eukaryota; Metazoa; Chordata; Mammalia; Primates; Hominidae
Description: uncharacterized LOC107985939 (LOC107985939)
Source: RNAcentral
CAUAAACUGCAGAGGACACAGAAGAAUACGCCCAGAUCCUUCUUGGGAUGGAUACAGAUUAGAGAAGGUUGCUUGCCACCAUUCUUGUCCUCCCUGCCUGGAGCCUCCUGCCCCUCGGCACAGGGAAAAUUGGACAUUUUGAGCAAGGCCAGGACUUUGAAACAUCUAGGGCAAGGAUGCGUCGAAAAAAGAACAAGUGGCAAACUCACCACCUCGGGACAGGUCUCCCGGCAGCCCUGGAAGGACAGUCUUACCCGGACGCCACGGUGGUCUCCCGGCAGCCCUGGGAAGGACAGUCUUACCCGGACGCCACGGUGGUCUCCCGGCAGCCCUGGGAAGGACAGUCUUACCCGGACGCCACGGCCGAGCUGCCCUUCCCUCCCUGCUGCCCCCAGGGAAGGCUGCUGGUGUCCUCAGAUGCGGGCAGGAGGAACCCGCCAGCGCCUGAGAGCCUGGCCCGAACCAGGCCUGGAGGUGCUGGGGCGAAGACACAGAGGAUGUGGCCUCCAUCCCUGGUAACAGACGGUUACCAGGGCGGCUUUGGGUGAGGACAUUGAAAAAGGUCAGACUCCCUGGGAGCAGCGCCCUGGACUCCAUUCUCAUCACAGACCAGUGGUUCCCAAUUGAAGUCAGUUUUGCUCCUCAGGGCACACUUAACAACAUCUGGAGACAUUUUUAAUUGUCCUGACCGAGAGGACAAUGCUACUGGCAUCUAGUGGACAGAGGCCAGGGAUACUGCUGAACAUCCCGCAGUGCACAGGACGCCUGCAACACAGAUUAUCCAGCCCCAAACGUCAAUAGUGCCGGAGUUAUGGAACCCUAAUGAAGACAAUUCUUGAAGGCAUAGACUGAAUCUUAUUUAUCUUUGUUUCCCUCAUGUCUCACAAGCAGAGUAUGAGUUCAGCAAAUAGGAGUUGAACAGAAAUCAGGAGGAGGUGCUGAUUGACAGGAAAAAAGAAAGAUUUAGUUUAGAGCUGAGAAUUCAGCUGGACAGCCAUAGGGGCUCUGGCAUGGAGACUGGAAGUCAGAAGAGAAUUUGCAGCAAGACAUUUAGAGCCAUUUAUCCAGCCAUCAUAAUUUUAUUGAGUAACUAUUUUGUGUGAGGCACUGUACUGGAUGCUUUGGCAACAGAGAUAAGCAAGGCAACCCCUGUGAAUAAGGCACUCCUGGUCUACACACAGUGGGAGAAACAUAGAAAUUCAUCUCUUCUGAGCGGAGCCUGUGGGAACCCAGAGGAUGGACACCCAGCGUGGUCUGAGGAAUCAUGGGCCAAAACAGGAGGCAUCAGGAGAGAUCUCUUGGGAUCCAUGGAAAGCUCCUCCUCCUUCCUGUUCCCCUGGAUGCCAAGCGAUGGGCCUGAGACCCUGGCUUUGCCAUGUGGAUGCUCCCCCUCAGGACUUUGGAUGUGCAGUGAUUGCUACAAAAAGGGCAAUGAAGAUGCCUGGACCACAGCCACACAGUCUCCAUCACAGCAGUGGUAUUCUGUGGAAUGAGUACUAAUUUUCUGGCCACAUUUUCUGUUAAAAACUGGUUGUUGAGCUGCCCACUUGUCUUGGUCAAGGGAUGCUGGAGUGGCCUGGGAAGGCAGUGUUGUUUGCUUUUCUUAGGAUGGAACACACUUAGGCAUAUUUUUGGUCAAAGCAAAAGAAGAAUUCAAAGUUAAAGGACUCACUUGUACGUGUACACAUUUCUCAGGAGUCCUGUCAACCACUGGGAAGAAAGAGGCUGGACUUCUGCAUUGAACCCAGGAACGGGGUUUCACAGCAAUGGAAACCUGGGGUUAAAUAUCAAUGGAACCUUACAUGACUUGAAGAAUCUUUAAUACAAGCUAGGUUUUGACCCCAAAUUAGACAUUUGGCAGCCUCUCAUUACAGUCUAUCUUGCAAACCUCAGUGUGGCAAGGAAUCAGAUUCACCCACACUCCCUAGUCUAAAGGAUUGUCCUCUGAUCCUUCCAGGUGGAUUAAGCCCUUUCUAAUCUGUCAUGGACAGAGCAAUGUACCUGCCUUUGUUUGUUUUCCUUAAUUCUUUCAAGUGCCUUUGGGUAAUAAAUGGUUGCGUACUC